Molecule: small nuclear RNA, 77 nt
Filed under: Sphenodon punctatus (tuatara)
Lineage: Eukaryota; Metazoa; Chordata; Lepidosauria; Sphenodontia; Sphenodontidae
Description: U4 spliceosomal RNA (ENSSPUG00000017952.1)
Rfam family: U4 spliceosomal RNA
About the family: U4 small nuclear RNA (U4 snRNA) is a component of the major U2-dependent spliceosome. The structure of U4 snRNA from yeast and human has been reported.
Source: RNAcentral
AGCUUUGUGCAGUGGCAGUAUUAUAGCCCAUGAGGUUAAAACGGAGACGUGAUUAUUGCUAGUAAUUAAUUUUCAUG